This is a long non-coding RNA of Gasterosteus aculeatus aculeatus (three-spined stickleback), 696 nucleotides long. The record is from Ensembl. Lineage: Eukaryota; Metazoa; Chordata; Actinopteri; Perciformes; Gasterosteidae.
GUUCCGGCAUUUGAGCCAAUCAGCGAUAAGCUUCACUGUACGCGCUCAUUUAACUUCGUUAGUUCAGGAGAAGAUGACUGGGCUACGGCUAAAGCCAGCAGAAGCUACAUCGAACAAACUUCCCUUGUCUGCUUUGUGUUGCGGGUGCUGCUGCUGACUGUCCUGAAAUCCAUGCGUUGCAGCAAGAUGGGAGCGGAUGGAUUCGCCUCAGGGUCGAACGUGAAGCAGGAAUUCCGGCCAACUGCCAUGAAAUUCACACCUCUCAGAGAGAUGAGCGGGUGGAGCUGCCUCGCAAUCACAACUUGAAAAGCAAGUGGGAGGGUGUCAUGCUGUGGAUUUUCUCGGGCUUCUCCCUCCCAGAGUCCACCAUCAGCGCACUGACCUUGGAGGGCAGCGCCUUCAUUCCUGAAGGCAGACUAGAAAAACCCUUCCAGAUCCACAGCAGCAGCCCCUGGUACAGCUGCAGGACCCCCACCCGCUGCACAGGUGGCGUGUCCUUGAUGCCCGAGCGGCUGCAGUAUUGACCCGAUACGGGGAGGACGUUCCUGAUGGACGUGUCGGCCCAGAACCGCAUGGUGACCAGUGUGUUCCUUGGAAUAUCUCUCCUGCUGCAUUGUGGGCUUAUUGCUGAGAGCAGCAUCAUCAUCAUCAGAGGCCACAGCUCAUCUUAAAUAUCUCCACGGUCAUUGAAUAAAC